AGAAGAAGAUAGUUGACAAAUAUACCUUUCAAAAUGGUGAAAUCCAUCUCAAACUUGUUCCAAUUUUUUGUUGUUCUAGUUUUGGUUGCAGCUGUUUGGAACAUGGGAUUACAACAAGUGGAUUGUGAAAAGAUAUGUGUAUCACCUAUGGGAGAAUGUGGUCCAGCCGGAGAUUGUGCUGAAAGGUGUAGAGUCUCAUAUGCUGGUGGGGAAGGUUCCUGCACUCUUGGCCUAUGUAGUUGUACUCAUAGAUGUGAUUGAAGGGCUUUAAAU
Long non-coding RNA from Lathyrus oleraceus (garden pea), 273 nucleotides. RefSeq lists it as uncharacterized. The record is from RefSeq and is a predicted model, not a curated record. Lineage: Eukaryota; Viridiplantae; Streptophyta; Magnoliopsida; Fabales; Fabaceae. The transcript is spliced from 3 exons.